RNAcentral lists this small nuclear RNA (95 nucleotides) under Dasypus novemcinctus (nine-banded armadillo). Lineage: Eukaryota; Metazoa; Chordata; Mammalia; Cingulata; Dasypodidae. The record is from RNAcentral.
GUGCUCGCUUCGGCAGCACUGGAACAACACAGGGAAGAUUAGCACGGCCCCUUAGCAAGGACGAUAUGCAAGUUUGUGACGCAUUCCAUAUUUUU